AGCUGAGGAGGGAUGAGAGAGGCGGCCAGGGCCCCGGGCCGUAGCAGCGCGGGGCUGGGGGACCAGGGGGGCUAAGACAACCCAACUGCCCCCUUCCCCUUUCCCUCUCCCCCUCUAUCCUUUCCUUCCACCCUCCCGCUUGAGGAGGGGGAUUUAUUCAAAUUUUAUUUAAAUCCCUAUCUCCCAAGGGUCGCGCGCUGGGGGGAGGGGGAGAGGUCGGGGGUGAGCGCGGGCUGGGGGGGCGGGGCCGGAGCAGCUUCCUUCACCCCCCCUCCGCUCGCCUCGUAGCCGUAGGGCAGGGGGUCGCAGUCCAGGGGCGGGCCCAGGGGAGGGGGGCAGGUUACAGCGACCCCCCCCUCCCCGGGAACCGGCGGUGGGCGGGGCUUGAACCCCGGAAACGGUGGGGGGGCCCAGGCCUGGCCCUGGACCCCUGGGCAGUGGGGUCCGGGAAGGGGCUAGUUAAAGGGCCAGGGGCGCUGGGGAGAGGCGGGGCGGGGUGGGGGGAGGGGAGCUGGGACUCGGACCCGGGACUGAGUGGGCCCCGGGCAGAAACUGAGCACCCUGCGCCCAAGGAGCCCCCGUUGGCCUGGGGGGGCUGAGGGACUGAGCCCCCCAGAGCAGGACCUCCCCCUGGAAGGGCCGCGCCGCAGCCCGUGGGAGGGCCUCGCCCCCGGCGCCCCCCAUCUCCACUCGCCGCCGUCCCGGCCUCCGCCGGAGGGAGGGGCCGAGCGCCCUCGGGGGGCCGUGGACCCCGGCGUUCUGAGCGUUCCGCGCCCCGCGCCGCCCGGCCCCCCCGCCGCCGAUGGCCGCCGACCCGCCGGGAGCUGCCGAGAAGGGAGAGAUGGCUCCCGGGACACGUGUGAGCCCUCGGCGUUGCUGACGCCCCCAAUGUCGUCGAGCAGCCGGGGGCCGGGGGCCGGAGCGCGCCGACGCCGAACCCGCUGCCGCCGCUGCCGGGCCUGUGUGCGAACUGAGUGCGGGGAUUGCCACUUCUGCCGAGACAUGAAGAAGUUCGGGGGGCCCGGGCGCAUGAAGCAGUCGUGCCUGCUCCGGCAGUGCACUGCCCCCGUGCUCCCACACACAGCUGUGUGCCUCUUGUGUGGGGAGGCUGGGAAGGAGGACACGGUGGAGGGAGAGGAAGAGAAAUUUGGUUUGAGCCUCAUGGAGUGUACAAUCUGCAACGAGAUCGUCCACCCCGGCUGCCUGAAGAUGGGGAAGGCUGAGGGUGUCAUCAAUGCAGAGAUCCCCAACUGCUGGGAGUGCCCUCGCUGCACCCAGGAAGGCCGCACCAGCAAGGAUUCAGGUGAGGGGCCUGGCCGCCGGAGGGCCGACAACGGCGAGGAGGGCGCCAGCUUGGGGAGCGGAUGGAAGCUGACAGAGGAGCCCACACUUCCACCGCCCCCGCCCAGGCGCAAGGGCCCCCUGCCUGCCGGGCCCCCCCCAGAGGACGUGCCUGGGCCCCCCAAACGAAAGGAAAGGGAGGCAGGGAAUGAGCCUCCCACCCCAAGGAAAAAGGUGAAAGGAGGCCGAGAGAGGCACCUGAAGAAGGUGGGUGGAGACGCCUGCCUCCUCCGAGGAUCGGACCCAGGCGGCCCCGGCCUGCUACCCCCCAGGGUUCUGAAUCCGAGCCAGGCUUUCUCAUCCUGCCACCCUGGGCUCCCUCCCGAGAACUGGGAGAAACCAAAGCCGCCUUUGGCCUCUGCAGAGGGCCCAGCGGUGCCGUCCCCGUCCCCGCAGAGGGAGAAGCUAGAGCGUUUCAAGCGGAUGUGCCAGCUGCUGGAACGGGUUCCUGACACCUCCUCUUCCUCCUCGGACUCAGACUCCGACUCCGACUCUUCGGGCACAUCGCUGAGUGAGGACGAAGCCCCCGGCGAGGCCCGGAAUGGGCGACGGCCAGCCCGGGGCAGCUCCGGAGAGAAGGAGAACCGUGGGGGGCGGCGGGCUGUGCGCCCUGGCAGCGGGGGGCCCCUGCUCAGCUGGCCCCUGGGCCCAGCCCCACCACCCCGGCCUCCACAGCUGGAGCGGCACGUGGUGCGGCCCCCGCCUCGAAGCCCUGAGCCUGACACACUCCCCUUGGCUGCUGGAUCCGACCACCCCCUGCCCCGGGCCGCCUGGCUUCGCGUCUUCCAGCACCUCGGGCCUCGGGAGCUGUGUAUCUGCAUGCGAGUCUGCCGAACUUGGAGCCGCUGGUGCUAUGACAAGCGUCUGUGGCCUCGAAUGGACCUGAGCCGGCGGAAGUCACUGACCCCGCCCAUGCUCAGUGGUGUGGUUCGCCGCCAGCCCCGUGCCCUGGACCUCAGCUGGACAGGUGUCUCCAAGAAGCAGCUCAUGUGGCUUCUGAACCGACUACAAGGCCUGCAGGAGCUGGUGCUCUCUGGCUGCUCCUGGCUCUCCGUCUCUGCCCUGGGCUCAGCCCCACUGCCAGCCCUGCGGCUCCUGGACCUCCGCUGGAUCGAGGAUGUUAAAGAUUCCCAGCUCCGGGAGCUGCUGCUGCCUCCACCAGACACCAAACCAGGGCAAACAGAGAGCCGUGGUCGGCUGCAGGGGGUGGCAGAACUGCGCCUGGCAGGUCUGGAGCUGACAGAUGCCUCCCUGCGGCUCCUGCUGCGCCACGCACCCCAGCUGAGCGCCCUGGACCUGAGCCACUGCGCCCACGUCGGGGACCCCAGUGUUCACCUCCUCACGGCCCCCACAUCCCCACUCCGCGAGACCCUGGUGCACCUCAAUCUUGCUGGUUGCCACCGCCUAACGGACCACUGCCUCCCGCUGUUCCGCCGCUGCCCUCGUCUACGCCGCCUAGACCUGCGCUCCUGCCGCCAGCUCUCACCUGAAGCUUGUGCCCGGCUGGCAGCUGCCGGGCCCCCUGGCCCCUUCCGCUGCCCUGAGGAGAAGCUGCUUCUCAAGGACAGCUAGUUGGGCGCCCCCCACCCUCCCCCGGACUCGACAGGAGCCUGGACCUCCGGCUUCAUUUCACCCCUGCUGGGAGGCCAGGUUCCCACCUCACCACCCUGGGAUUCUUGAGUGUCAGUGACAUGGGAUUCCCACCCAGGGACUCAAGCCAGCCACCCCCUUCUUUCCCCCCUGCACUGAUAUCUCUGGGGGUUUCUCCUUCCCAUGUCCUCCCCCUGCUACCUGCUUCAUUGUCCAUCCCCUGGGGGGAGUGGGUCAGAGGUACUGGAGGGUGCUGAGCCAAAGGGACGGUGGGAGGGGGGUUAUGGUGCAAGUGUUGGGGGGGAGAAUGGGGAAAGGACACACAGGAUAUGGGAGCCAGGGGCUGGGGGAGGUGGAAGGGGCGGGGGGCGGGGCAGACAGCAGACCACCAAGGGUUCAGGGAACAAAGACCAGUUACUUGGAGUGGGGGGUGGGGGUGGGGCCACAAAAGGAAAACCGGAGGAGCAAUUGGGGAUCCAGGUGUCAGAGGUAGGGGAACCAGGGGCAAGCCGGGGCUGAGCUGGAGGUAGGGAUGAGAGCAGGUGUGGGAACAGCAAUACCCCCUUGGGGGUCACCUCUCUGCUUCCCCCCUCCCCAGGCUUCAGUUCCUUCCCCCUGACCCUGAACGUCACUGAAAACGGCAGCUAUUGCAAGGAGUGGGGGCCGCGGGCAGCCGCUCUUCAGCUCGCGGCCCAGGGGAGUGGCGAGGGGCGCCCUAACCCCCUGCCCGCCUCUCCGCACAAUACUUGAACAUUCAUCUGUACUGAAGUGUUACUUGAACCGGGGGAACCUCGGACCUGGGGGAGCCAGGGUGUGAGGGGACUGGACCAGCUUGGACUGAGACCGGGCCAGUGGGCGCCCAUUUGGGACUGCGCCACCCCCAGGCUUGUUCUUGUUUUACUGUAUUGAGCGGCGGCACCCACCAGACCCGUAUUAUGGCUGGGGGCACCAGCCCAAGGAUGGGGACCAUGGGACUCCUCCAGCCUGGCUCUUCCCACUCUUUCAUCGUCAUGGAAACUUGUAUCCCAUUUGCCCAGGGAACCGCCACUCCUGGUUGCCAUGGAAAUAGCAGCCAACGGACACCUCCCGAUGCCAGUGCUAAGGCUGGAAAUGGCCCCCUCUUAGUUGCCAUGGGAACCUAGUAACAGACUCUCCUGGCCCUCCUUCCCCGCCCCUUCUUCCAGCGCGGGGUGGGGCUUCGGGACCCGGGGGAUGAGCCGGGCCAGGUCCCGCCCCUCCGCGCAGGCCUCCGGGGGGCCGGGGCUUACCAUGUAGGGGAGGGGAGAUCUAUCCACAUACCUCAGGUGGCCAUGGUGGAGGUGCAGCUGGAGAGCGACCACGAGUACCCACCAGGCCUGCUGGUGGCCUUCAGUGCCUGCACCACCGUGCUGGUGGCUGUGCACCUGUUUGCACUCAUGGUCUCCACGUGUCUGCUGCCCCACAUUGAAGCUGUGAGCAACAUCCACAACCUCAACUCUGUCCACCAGUCACCACACCAGAGACUGCACCGCUAUGUGGAGCUGGCCUGGGGCUUCUCCACUGCCCUGGGCACCUUUCUCUUCCUUGCUGAAGUUGUCCUGGUUGGUUGGGUCAAGUUUGUGCCCAUUGGGGCUCCCUUGGACACACCGACCCCCAUGGUGCCCACAUCCCGGGUGCCCGGGACUCUGGCACCAGUGGCUACCUCCCUUAGUCCAGCUUCCAAUCUCCCACCAUCCUCUGCGUCCGCAGCACCGUCCCAGGCUGAGCCAGCCUGCCCACCCCGGCAAGCCUGUGGUGGUGGUGGGGCCCAUGGGCCAGGCUGGCAAGCAGCCAUGGCCUCCACGGCCAUCAUGGUACCCGUGGGGCUCGUGUUUGUGGCCUUUGCCCUGCAUUUCUACCGCUCCUUGGUGGCACACAAGACAGACCGCUACAAGCAGGAACUAGAGGAACUGAAUCGCCUGCAGGGGGAGCUGCAGGCUGUGUGAGGCUGGUGUUAGCCACCGCUCACUGCAAGCACUGCCUCCCUCCGGGGUCUGUGAGAGGCCGCAGGGGCCUACAGACCUCAUCCCCCCAUCCCCUGGCUGGAGCCACUUCCAGUGGCCACUCUCAGGCAGAGUUCAGAUUCCUGCCUGCAGGGUCCUCUGGCCUGGGCCUUGGGGCAGCUCCCACAUUCCCAAGGAUUUUCCCCAUCAGUCUGUGCCUUGGGUUUUUCAAGCUACUCUGCACCUGGGCUGGCCUCAGUUGAAGGAUCAUACAGUAGAGGGGAGGCAGGGAGAGCUUGUGGGACCUUUGGUGCUGACUUUAGCCACCAUUUCCAUUCCUAUACAGGAUGUGAAGGUCAGAAGGCAGCCAACUGUUGGUUUGAUUUUUUUUUUUUUGAGACAGUCUCUGUUUCCCAGGCUGGAGUGUAGUGAUGCAGUCACAGCUCACUGUAGCCUUGACCUUCCAGGCUCAAAAGAUUCUCCCACCACAGCCUCCCAGGUAGUGAGUAGCUGGUACUACAGGUGUGUGCGGCCACACCCGACUAAUUUUUUUGUAUUUUUUGUAGCGACGGGGUUUCGCUAUGUUCCCAGGCUGGUCUCAAACUCCUGGGCUCAAGUGAACCUCCCACCUCGGCCUCCCAAAGUGCUGGGAUUCCUUGCUUUAUUUCUGUAGAAUCUAUUUUAUGGUUGGCAUUUUGGGGGAAGAUUUCGAUGGGUUCCACAUUCUUGCUUUAGUUGUUGUAGAGGGAUUUGGGUGUUUCUACCCCAGGCAUUGGUCUAGCUUGUCCUACAACGAACCUAUCUUUGGAGGUUCAAGCUCCCCACCUUCCCCAACCGUGGUGACCUGUGGCCACUCACAGAAGGGAUGGUGCCUGACCCACUGCCCUAGCCCCACGCUAUGCACUAAACUUGUUCUCCCCCUCCUGGGCCAGGGCUUGGGUCUUUAGAGACUGACAGCCUCUGCCCCAGGCCUGAGUCCUUAGCAAGGAUUGGGUGAGGAGGUUUUAAGGGAGAAGGUCCAGUCUUUAGCCCUUGGAAUACAAAGCUCUUCUGACACUGAAUUUGGAUGCACCUUCUUUUAUAUAAUAAAUCGUGUUUCACAGA
RNA transcript from Nomascus leucogenys (northern white-cheeked gibbon), 5996 nucleotides. It is a transcript of the gene named F-box and leucine rich repeat protein 19, with no coding region annotated. The record is from RefSeq and is a predicted model, not a curated record. NCBI's taxonomy places the organism in Eukaryota, Metazoa, Chordata, Mammalia, Primates, Hylobatidae. The transcript is spliced from 12 exons.